This 456-nucleotide small RNA is filed under the name Pongo abelii (Sumatran orangutan). RNAcentral's name for it is "processed transcript". Lineage: Eukaryota; Metazoa; Chordata; Mammalia; Primates; Hominidae. The record is from RNAcentral.
CUCUUCCCGCCAUCUUGGCUCCUGUGGAGGCCUGCUGGGAACGGGACUUCUAAAAGGAACUAUGUCUGGAAGGCUGUGGUCCAAGGCCAUUUUUGCCGGCUAUAAGCGGGGUCUCCGGAACCAAAGGGAGCACACAGCUCUUCUUAAAAUUGAAGGUGUUUACGCCCGAGAUGAAACAGAAUUCUAUUUGGGCAAGAGAUGCGCUUAUGUAUACAAAGCAAAGAAGCUAAAGUGCAGUGGCACGAUCUCAGCUCACUGCAAUCUCUGCUUCCUGGGUUCAAGCAAUUCUCCUGCCUCAGCCUCCGAGUUAGCAACACAGUCACUCCUGGCGGCAAACCAAACAAAACCAGAGUCAUCUGGGGAAAAGUAACUCGGGCCCAUGGAAACAGUGGCAUGGUUCGUGCCAAAUUCCGAAGCAAUCUUCCUGCUAAGGCCAUUGGACACAGAAUCCGAGUG